AGAGUUUGAUCCUGGCUCAGGACGAACGCUGGCGGCGGGCCUAACACAUGCAAGUCUAAGGAGAAUUUCGGAGCAAUCUGAAAGGACACUGGCGCACGGGUGAGUAACGCGUAGGUAACCUACCUUCUGCUGGGGGAUAACAUCGGGAAACCGGUGCUAAUACCGCAUAAUGCAGCGGUCACGCAUGUGGCAGUUGUUAAAGAAUUUCGGCAGAAGAUGGGCCUGCGUGUCAUUAGUUAGUUGGUAAGGUAACGGCUUACCAAGACGAUGAUGACUAGGGGGUCUGAGAGGAUGAUCCCCCACACUGGAACUGAGACACGGUCCAGACUCCUACGGGAGGCAGCAGUGAGGAAUCUUGCGCAAUGGGGGAAACCCUGACGCAGCCACGCCGCGUGCCAGAUGAAGGCCCUACGGGUCGUAAAUGGCUUUUGGUCGGGAAGAUAAGCCGGGUUUCGACCUGGUGUGACGGUACCGACUGAAUAAGCACCGGCUAACUCCGUGCCAGCAGCCGCGGUAAUACGGAGGGUGCAAGCGUUGUCCGGAAUCAUUGGGUGUAAAGGGUGCGUAGGCGGAUGUCUAAGUCUGGGGUGAAAUCUUGCAGCUUAACUGUAAAAUUGCCUUGGAUACUGGAUGUCUUGAGUACAGAAGAGGAUGGUGGAAUUCGUAGUGUAGCGGUGAAAUGCAUAGAUAUUACGAAGAACACCGGUGGCGAAAGCGGCCAUCUGGUCUGUUACUGACGCUGAGGCACGAAAGCGUGGGGAGCGAACAGGAUUAGAUACCCUGGUAGUCCACGCCGUAAACGAUGUGUGCUAGUUGUUGGCCUGUAUGGGCCAGUGACGUAGUUAACGCGCUAAGCACACCACCUGGGGAGUACGUUCGCAAGAUGAACUCAAGGAAUUGACGG
Molecule: ribosomal RNA, 904 nt
Filed under: uncultured marine bacterium
Lineage: Bacteria
Description: bacterial SSU rRNA
Rfam family: Bacterial small subunit ribosomal RNA
Source: RNAcentral